GCAGGACACAUUGAACAUCGAUAUCUUGAACGCAUAUUGCGGGCCUCGGGCAAUCCCGAGGCCAAGCCUGUCUCAGGGUCGGUUGAAUUACAAUCGCGGGUCGCACUCUGCCCGCGCACUGGGCCGUCUCGCACGCGACGACGUUCGCGGCGCUCUCGUCUUUCGGUCGCACUCUGCCGAUCGACGAGCCGCGCCGCCUGUCGACGCGUUCGAGUCGCCUCAAGUUUAGACGUGCGGUCGCUCGUCCGAUUACAGCCGCGGUCAAUAGCGGUCGUCGGACGGGACGGUGACUCGGUACUCAAAGAGCCAUCCGCCUUUCUCCGACGUCGAUCGGAU
Molecule: unclassified non-coding RNA, 336 nt
Filed under: Lumbriculidae sp. LL1_303
Lineage: Eukaryota; Metazoa; Annelida; Clitellata; Lumbriculida; Lumbriculidae
Description: sequence contains ITS2
Rfam family: 5.8S ribosomal RNA (bases 1-81)
Source: RNAcentral